This 377-nucleotide long non-coding RNA is filed under the name Gallus gallus (chicken). RNAcentral's name for it is "lncRNA (ENSGALG00010020772.1)". Lineage: Eukaryota; Metazoa; Chordata; Aves; Galliformes; Phasianidae. The record is from RNAcentral.
GUCCACCUCAAGUAUAUAAAGGAUCCUCCUUGCUAACAAUAAAGUAAGGGUCUAAGAGUAAAAGGGUUAGGCUUGAAUCAGACCAAGCCAAGGAUUUGGGAGUGCCUCGAAGCAGCUUUCUGUAAGAAAACCUACCCACCAACAACUUUUACAAGGGCAGAAGGACGAGCUGCUUGGCUGCUGUCUGUGUGCUGGAAAAGACAAGGGCAUCGACAUAAAUAAUAGCAGCACCCAUUAAGCCUGUUCCUGAUCAGCCUGGCUGGACUCUGCAACAAUAGGGCAGGUGCAGCUGGGAAGGAAAACACCUCUGCCCAAAGGCUGCAGCAAGGGAUUUGUCCCUCUCUCCUGGUUCCAGCCUUUGCCAACACCAAGGCCUG